This is a long non-coding RNA of Microcebus murinus (gray mouse lemur), 2024 nucleotides long. RefSeq lists it as uncharacterized. Lineage: Eukaryota; Metazoa; Chordata; Mammalia; Primates; Cheirogaleidae. The record is from RefSeq and is a predicted model, not a curated record.
UCUCUACGAAAAAUAGAAAAAAUUAGCUGGGCGUGGUGGCGUGCACUUGUAGUUUGAGACAUCACCACACUCUAGCCAGGGCAACAGAGUGAGACUGUUUCAAAACUAGAUAGACAGACAGACAGACGGAGGAAUGAACAUUUGUGGCUCUCAACAGGUUCACUAAACCUAAAACUUUAAAUUCCCCUGUCAAGAAAGUUAGCAACAUUAGCCAGAUAUUCUUACUCAACCGGAGAUCAUUUUUUUUUAUUAAAAGGUAAGAAAUAAUGCAAUUAUAAACUCUUAUUUUCUAGGUUAUAAAGCAUAUAACCUCUCGUUUACACCCCCUCCCCCCCAAAAAAUUGUCAGGAACAACUCUAACCACAUGUGUGCAUGUAUCUAUGGGCAAAAACACAUAUUAUACAUUGAUAUCAUAAAUAAAACACUAGAUUCGAUCUUGGCCCAUAGAGUCUCAAGUUAUUAAUCCAACCAGAAGCUGGAUUUGUCACACAACACAAAAUCGGUCUUGCUGCCACACUAUGUGCUCAUUCAAUCUGUGCCUGACAAUGGCUACAGGCAACCCUGUAUAUACACUGUCCUUGAGGUGAGGUAUACUGCACUGAGGCCUCAGAUCAAUCUGCCUUGGCUCACUUCCUUGCGAAAGAGAUGACUGUCAUCCUAUGUCCAUUCUCUACUCCUUUGAGGAAUAGAACUCUCCCCCCACCCCCAGAGUCUUGGAUCCUCACUAGAUUCCACACUCCAAGCUUCUUCCAUUGUGAUGUAUCAUCGUGUGACUUAAGUUCUGGCAACUGGGAUGUGAUAGGAAGUGAUGCCUGCAACUUCCAGGUCAUGCCCACAAAAAGGAACUACUCGGCCUCCACUUUCUCUUUCCUGCAGGAGAAACAAAGAUGUUGGAGUGGUGAGCCCCCUGCAACAUGCAUGUAUCUCAGCAUCUCAUCUGGUCUACAAUAAAUGGAAUCUUCAAGGAGCAUAAUAAUAAACAGGCUUUGGCAGCCAUUAUAACUCCACCACUGACAAUGUGAAAGUUUUUCUACCUGUACCAUGAAUCCAAGUAGACUGAGAUGCCAAGAGCCAUAAACAAGAUGCUACAGCUGACUCAACCAGCAGACAGUCUACCUUAUGCUGGCCAACAACCCUGGCGUGGCCUAGCAGGAAGAGAAAAGCUAGCCUAAUCAUAUCUCUCUCUCUCUCUUCAAAAUUGGCCUUGAAAAAUACUGAAAAAAUGAUGCAGUUACAAGUAGAAAGUGAUACUGAGAGAAGACAAAAGGAAAAGCUAUUAAAUAACUUUGCGACCAUGAAGAAUCACAACAACCUAAAUUUACCAAGAAGCCAGAAGUAUGAGAAGUAAAGAAACUAUAUGGAAAAGAAAAGAUUAAUAUAAAGCAGAGAAUAACCACCCUGCUAAAAAACCCAAGAGAAGCAGCCCCAGAGAGAUACAGGUGUGUGAAGAAUGGCUAAGUGUAGUUACAGAGAAGUUUGUUUCUAAAUGAAAAAAUUAUCUGCCUCAGUUUCCUUUGACCUAGGUAUGGCAAUAUGACCAAAUUUUGGUCAAUGAAAUAUAGUGAAAAAGUCUUAGUAGUCUUCCAGGAGGGAAACACACUCUUCUUCCAACCUUUCUCCAUCCCACUAUCUGGAAUACAGAAGUGAUGGCAGGAGCUCUGGCAUCAAUUUUAGACCACGAGUUUAAAGUCUACACAGGGGGCAGAAGCAUCUUGGGGCCCUAACAACUUCUAGACUUAUUUGAGAAAAAAAUAAAACUAUCAAAGCCACUAUUUUCCAACUAAUUCCAGUCCUAACUGAUACAGUGGUUGAAAUAAUUAAAUGGGACAAUAGUAUCUCAUUUAACUUAAGCCAGUUAAAUGGAAGUGUUAUGUAUUCUACUUUACAGUAGUAUUAUUAUCCCUAAUUUAGAGAUGAAAAAACAGAUACCAGCUAGUAUAUGACAGAACCAUGAUUUGAACCUAGUCUUUUGGACUCAAGGGCCAAGCUCUUAAUCAUUAAGAACAAGAACCUGCAAAAAAAAA